RNAcentral lists this ribosomal RNA (266 nucleotides) under uncultured prokaryote. RNAcentral describes it as "partial 16S ribosomal RNA". It matches the Rfam family "Bacterial small subunit ribosomal RNA", at positions 524 to 788 of the family's 1533-position model. The record is from RNAcentral.
UACGGAGGAUCCGAGCGUUAUCCGGAUUUAUUGGGUUUAAAGGGUGCGUAGGCGGGACUGUAAGUCAGGGGUGAAAUACUGCAGCUUAACUGUAGCAUUGCCUUUGAAACUGCCGUUCUUGAGUACAGUUGAGGUAGGCGGAAUGUGGUGUGUAGCGGUGAAAUGCAUAGAUAUACCACAGAACGCCGAUUGCGAAGGCAGCUUACUAAGCUGUUACUGACGCUGAGGCACGAAAGCGUGGGGAUCAAACAGGAUUAGAUACCCCU